AGCUCCAAUAGCGUAUAUUAAUGUUGCUGCAGUUAAAAAGCUCGUAGUUGGAUUUCUGGUUUGAAUGAUAUGUCCCGCUCGAAAGAGUUGAGUGAUUUUUAUUUUUCUGCCAUCCUUCUUGUGAAUCCUGGCUGCCGAAAGGUUUGCCUUGUAUAAGCAAGAUCUUUUACUUUGAAAAAAUUGGAGUGUUUAAAGCAGGCUUACGCUUAUGAACAUACUAGCAUGGAAUAAUAAUAUAGGACUCUUGUUCUAUUUUGUUGGUUCUAGGAACUAGAGUAAUGAUUGAUAGGAACGGUUGGGGGUGCUUGUAUUCCGAGGUCAGAGGUGAAAUUCUUGGAUUCUCGGAAGACAAACUUAUGCGAAAGCAUUCACCAAGGACGUUUUCUUUAAUCAAGAACGA
This 400-nucleotide ribosomal RNA is filed under the name phytoplankton environmental sample. RNAcentral describes it as "partial small subunit ribosomal RNA". It matches the Rfam family "Eukaryotic small subunit ribosomal RNA", at positions 587 to 986 of the family's 1831-position model. The record is from RNAcentral.